UUCCGCAAGGAAGUAAGAUCCCUGAAAGAUGAUCAGGUUGAUAGGUCUGAGGUGGAAGUGUGGCGACACAUGGAGCUGACAGAUACUAAUCGAUCGAGGACUUAACCUA
RNAcentral lists this ribosomal RNA (109 nucleotides) under Bacillus mojavensis. Its description in RNAcentral is "partial 23S ribosomal RNA". It matches the Rfam family "Bacterial large subunit ribosomal RNA", at positions 2815 to 2925 of the family's 2925-position model. The record is from RNAcentral. RNAcentral also lists the same sequence under 4 other names. Lineage: Bacteria; Bacillati; Bacillota; Bacilli; Caryophanales; Bacillaceae.